UACAGGGGGGGCAAGCGUUGUUCGGAAUUACUGGGCGUAAAGAGCUCGUAGGUGGUUUGUCGCGUUGUUCGUGAAAACUCACAGCUUAACUGUGGGCGUGCGGGCGAUACGGGCAGACUGGAGUACUGCAGGGGAGACUGGAAUUCCUGGUGUAGCGGUGGAAUGCGCAGAUAUCAGGAGGAACACCGGUGGCGAAGGCGGGUCUCUGGGCAGUAACUGACGCUGAGGAGCGAAAGCGUGGGGAGCGAACAGG
Molecule: ribosomal RNA, 253 nt
Filed under: uncultured bacterium
Lineage: Bacteria
Description: partial 16S ribosomal RNA
Rfam family: Bacterial small subunit ribosomal RNA
Source: RNAcentral